GCCGGAGCGCGACGCUCUCCCCAAGGACGAAGCCAUGCAUGCCCGCUCACCCGGGACGCGGCGGACGGCUCAGGACAACGGUUGCACCCCCCGCGGCGGUCCCUGCUAGCCGGACACCGCUGGCAACCCGGCGCCAAGACGUGCGCGCAAGGGCGGGCGCCCGCGGGCGAGCAGCGUGACGCAGCGACGGCCCGCCCGGGCUUCCGGGGCAUCACCCGGUCGGCGCGGUCGCGGCGCGCCGAGGGCCCGACGCCUGGCGGAGA
RNAcentral lists this ribosomal RNA (263 nucleotides) under Giardia duodenalis. RNAcentral's name for it is "Giardia intestinalis partial small subunit ribosomal RNA". The record is from RNAcentral. Lineage: Eukaryota; Fornicata; Diplomonadida; Hexamitidae.